Molecule: long non-coding RNA, 1018 nt
Filed under: Equus caballus (horse)
Lineage: Eukaryota; Metazoa; Chordata; Mammalia; Perissodactyla; Equidae
Description: lncRNA (ENSECAG00000041445.2)
Source: RNAcentral
GAGGGGUGGGAACUGAAGAGGGGCCUCCCGCCCAUGGACUGCACUAGGAACUCCCCUGAGGGGCUCGGGCCUUCUCUAAACACAAAAUUGUACUUUUAAUUCAAUUUGCUCAUUUAAUAUGGAUGGAAAGCUGACUCUACAGAGCUCAGUAUUCUCAAUUCCUGCUGUUGACGAUGACCCAAUUAAUCCUUACGAGGUGGGAAACAGGUGGGAACCGUUUUUCCGAUUUUUCAAACUGAACAGACAAAGCUGGAAAGGAGGUAAGAGGCUCAGGGAGCUGCCACAUGGAUCCUGCGAUCGAGCUCUUUCUGUUUCUUGGCCUCUCCUUUCAGUAGCCUGCCUGUCAGGUGCUGUGUAAGAAGUUCAUACCUGCUCAAUGUCAUCAAGAUUAGGCUACAGAUUCUGAAUGACAGUCUCACAGAGGAUAAACCCCCAUGAGUAUGCCACUGGCCCCUGCUCCACCACUGCCUGUUGGAGUGUUCUUGAGCAAGUCACUGCCCUUUUCAGCCUCAGAAUCCUCAGCUCCACAAUGGAAAUACUCCCACGCGCCUUGUUCAAUGUGUGGUGUUGCUAUAGAGUCGAGUCGUAGGAAACCACUGGUAAGGAAGAUUGGUCCAGAGCUAACAUCCGUGCCCAUCUUCCUCUGUUUAAUAUGUGGGAUGCCUGCCACAGCAUGGCUUGAUGAGUGCUUGUGCAGAUCCAAAUGCUGCAGAAGGGAAGGAUGCUACCGUACUAAAGGGCUGAUUGAGUUUGUGCUGUGCAGUAAUGAGAGCUGGGAUCCUGCUACAACAGCAAUUAGCAUCGCUGACCUGUGAGGAAGAACAAGCCCAGAGAAAACAGGCUUGGAGUGAAAUCAGUGCGGGCUCAGUCAUCAACUCUAUUCGCCCAGAUCUCUGGAGAGAGGCAGUGGGGACACAUUGAAAGAUUUUAAUCAAGGAUAAAAUGAUCAGACAUUUGCAAGGCUCCCUUCCAGAAUUCACUCAAGAGACCAAAUUACGGAUCUGAAGAUUGCUUGAUG